Molecule: RNA transcript, 2016 nt
Organism: Asparagus officinalis (garden asparagus)
Lineage: Eukaryota; Viridiplantae; Streptophyta; Magnoliopsida; Asparagales; Asparagaceae
Exons: 2
Source: RefSeq, a predicted model, not a curated record
UAUGAACAGUAAAUCUGAUCUGGACCAAUCAGAUUAUUCAUAACAAAAUUAUUCAGAUUUAAAAAAAAAACUCAAAAAUCCAACUCAUCUUCGUACUCACCCUCUAAACUUCCUUUUUACAACUCACGUUCUCCUUAAAAAAAACUUCCCACGUUUCACAUCCCACUUUCUCCUUGAAAACGUUUCCAAGCUUCCCUUUUUACAACCCACAAUUCUCUCUCUUCCUCUCUCAAUCUUCAGAAAAAGAUUCAGAAAAUCAAAAAAACUCCUCUGCUUCUCCUCCUCCAUCUUCAAUGGCAUCCUCCUCCUCCAUCUUCUUCAAUGGAUUUGAUCUGGUUUCGAUCCUUUUGUAGCGGGUACACGUUCGCUGAUGCCGGCAACUUGGAGCAUUGUGCCAAGUAUUUGAACCAGACGCUGAUGACCUUCGGAUUCCCUGCUUCGCUCGAUCUAUUUGCUGCGGAUCCGGUGAGCGACCUCGAUCUGAAGGUGUAGGAAUCAAUUGCAAGGACUUGCAAUUUCAUACAUUCUUUACUUCAGCAGAAGCAGAGGGAUAUUGAGUUUAGGGAGUCGGCUAAUGAUCAGAGGCAAAGGUUUGUUUUUCUUCUGAUAUAUCUUAAUCUUAAUUUAUCUAUUUUAGAAAUAUGUCUUAUGUAGUCCCUCUAAAGACCGAGAGCUCGCCACCUUAACCCGAAAGGUUUGUUUGUCAGUUAUAUUAUGGGGAAACUUUCCAUACUCUAAAAUUUCCAACUUCAUGUACAUUCUAAAGCUGGACGUGAUCAGGAUGCUAAAGCUACCACCGUGUUCAAAGCUCAGAUUGAAAAUCUGCAAUAGGAAAGUGAUGAAUUUCAAAAGAUGGUUAUUGGUAAUCAGGUGAAGAAUAAGUUGUGAUAGUUGUGUCAUGUCAGGUUACAUCUUUUUUUGGCAAAAUAAGUUAAUAAUACAAGGACAUGAAAAUCUUGCAUAAUAUAUUAACCACUUUGAUUGACCAAAAUAAACCUUUUAACAAAAAUAAAUGUAGAACAGAAAGUUAAAAAGUAUGCAUACUAAUUGCAAGUUUAUGUAUCCCCUUUAUCAAGUGUAAAUCUAAGGCAGGUUGCGAUCAAUCAGGUGCUGGAAGGAUACAUAGAGAUCAUUGUUAUUAUUCAGACAUACCUUAUUGGAUACAAUAGUUCUAAUAAGAUAUUCUUGAAUUAUGACAUGGACUAAUAGCUAUUAUUUUUUAGAAGUGCAAUUUUCAGUAAGUUAAGAUUAUAUCUUCUUACUUUUAUCUUAUGAUAGUUUCAUAGUUUUCCUUCAAUUGUGAAAGAUAACGAGCUUCCAUGUCUCUCAUAUAGCAAUUUAUACAUCUAACUUGAUGUAUAGUUAUAGUAUUCAAUCUGAUAUUUUGAUCAUUAUUUCUUUCUUUCUUUUUUUUCUGAAAGUAGGAUAAUCUCAAUGUUCUUAUAUCCUAAAAGAAUUACUUCUUGAAGGGACACCAUGCUGAAGAUUGGUAAACUUCUUUCUUUCUUUCUUUCUUUUUUCAACUAUUUUGUUCUUUCUUUCAAUUGGUAAACUAAUCAAUGUUCUCAGAUAAUGUUUUGAUUCUAUGUCAAUUUUGUUACUUUGGUCCUUUUAAAUUUUGAGUAUUAGUUAGUAUAUAUAUUUGCAACAAAAGCACAUGUAAAGUUUUGAACUUUAUUUAAAAAACUAUUCAUCAAGGUUAUAUAGUAUUAUUGUAGGUGACUGUGUGUGAUUUGGUUGAAAUUUAUUUUAAAAUUUAUUCAUCAAAGUUGUAUACUAUAAUAAUAAAGCAAUCUACAUUAUAUAUAUUGAAAUUGGAAGUACAAUUAUGUUACUAACUAAAUCUUAUUUCUAUUUUUUGGGUAGAAAUACAGGGUCUAAUCUUCUCUGUUCUUCAUUUCACAUUAACAUCAGCAUAGAAAACUGAAGGUACGAUAUAUCUUUUGUAAUCAAUUUUCCUUGGUAUGUUUUGAUGAACUUUGAUGCACUGCUAUGUUAGGAGAAGUAAAAUAUUUU